AGUCGAGCGAUGAAGUUCCUUCGGGAACGGAUUAGCGGCGGACGGGUGAGUAACACGUGGGUAACCUGCCUUAUAGAGGGGGAUAGCCUUCCGAAAGGAAGAUUAAUACCGCAUAAAGUUGUUGAUUCGCAUGGAUCGAUAACCAAAGGAGCAAUCCGCUAUAAGAUGGACCCGCGGCGCAUUAGCUAGUUGGUGAGGUAACGGCUCACCAAGGCGACGAUGCGUAGCCGACCUGAGAGGGUGAUCGGCCACAUUGGGACUGAGACACGGCCCAGACUCCUACGGGAGGCAGCAGUGGGGAAUAUUGCACAAUGGGGGAAACCCUGAUGCAGCAACGCCGCGUGAGUGAUGAAGGCCUUCGGGUUGUAAAGCUCUGUCUUUGGGGACGAUAAUGACGGUACCCAAGGAGGAAGCCACGGCUAACUACGUGCCAGCAGCCGCGGUAAUACGUAGGUGGCAAGCGUUGUCCGGAUUUACUGGGCGUAAAGGGAGCGUAGGCGGAUUUUUAAGUGGGAUGUGAAAUACCCGGGCUCAACUUGGGUGCUGCAUUCCAAACUGGAAGUCUAGAGUGCAGGAGAGGAAAGUGGAAUUCCUAGUGUAGCGGUGAAAUGCGUAGAGAUUAGGAAGAACACCAGUGGCGAAGCGACUUUCUGGACUGUAACUGACGCUGAGCUCGAAAGCGUGGGGAGCAAACAGGAUAGAUACCCUGGUAGUCCACGCCGUAAACGAUGGAUACUA
Molecule: ribosomal RNA, 738 nt
Filed under: uncultured bacterium
Lineage: Bacteria
Description: bacterial SSU rRNA
Rfam family: Bacterial small subunit ribosomal RNA
Source: RNAcentral